RNAcentral lists this ribosomal RNA (107 nucleotides) under Chloroflexi bacterium AL-N1. RNAcentral also lists the same sequence under 4 other names. Lineage: Bacteria; Bacillati; Chloroflexota. The record is from RNAcentral.
GCACCGACCUACUCUCCCAGUGCUAUCUACACCAGUACCUUCGGCGCUCCUGCGUUUCACGACCCGGUUCGGGAUGGGACGGGGUGGGUCCACAGGGCUCGAGGCAC